RNA transcript from Myotis brandtii (Brandt's bat), 2275 nucleotides. It is a transcript of the gene named kizuna centrosomal protein, with no coding region annotated. The transcript has 15 exons. NCBI's taxonomy places the organism in Eukaryota, Metazoa, Chordata, Mammalia, Chiroptera, Vespertilionidae. The record is from RefSeq and is a predicted model, not a curated record.
CAGCGGCGGAAGCGGCAGCAUGGUCCCGGCCUCCGCACCGCCCUGGCUCCCGGAGAGCCCCGAAUACUACGAGAGGCUGCGCCGCCUCCAGCUCGAGCUGCGGGACAGUGAAAAGAAGAGAUUGGAGCUGGAAAAGAAACUUUAUGAAUAUAGUCAGUCUAAUAUAUACAGAGUUAAGCUGAAGUAUGUAAAACUAAAGAAAUACCUGAAGGAAAUAUGUGAAUCAGAAAAGAUGGCUCAUACUCGAAACCAAGAAUAUUUAAAACAGUUUGAGUAUUUCCAAGCUCAUAUUGGACACUUUACCACCACAAGUACAGAGAAGCUUCAAGAACUAAAGAUUGAAUAUGAGGCUCAAUUUAAGAAGAUGCAGCUACUUUCAAAAGAUAGCCUGGGAAUAAAAGGUGAACUGAAAAAUGAAGACAGAGAAAAGGUUGCAGUGCAGGCAGGAAUUAACUCAGAAACAGCCAUGUCAAGAGGAUUGUAUCAACCAGCAACAAGCUUUAUGGGCCGCCAAAUGUCAGCCGUCUCAAGCAUUGGAGAUUUCAGUACAGAGCAGAAAUCUCCCCAACCCACAAAGAACUUUUCAAUUCCUGACCCACAUUCACACCAACAGACAGCCCAGAACUGUAAUGUGACAGACAGCUAUGUAGUACAAACUAAUAGUGACACAGAGUGCUUAAAUAAGUCUGACAAAAUAGAUGGAAAGACGUCUCUUCAGAUUGGUGAGAAAAUGCUAGUCACAGCCAGCGUUCUGUCUGAGGAGGAACAAACUCAUUGCCUGGAGAUAGGAAGCAACACACGUCAUGGCAAGAGUAAUUUAUCUGAAGGCAAAAAUUCUGCUGAACUUCAUUCCCCGUUACAGGAAAGAUUAAGUCCAGAGAACAGAACCACUGAUUUAAAGUGUGACAGUUCCAGCAGAUCAGAGGGAUCGGAGAGAGAAAUACUGACACAAGAACAUAUUGAAGUCAAGGAAGGAAGAGCCAGACCGCCUGCCUCUCCGCUAUCAGUCUCGGAGUACUGUGCACCUGAAAACAAGUGUUCUCAAGACAAGCAUUCCGCUGGGGAAGUUUUCUCAGAUCAUCUUCCUCAUGCAGACCCAGAGUCACAGAAGCCCUUCCGAAAAAUGCAGGAAGAGUGGGAGGAGGACAGUUUGAACAGCAGCAGUGACCUCACCGUUUCUGUAAGUGAAGAUGAUCUGAUUUUAAAGAGCCUGGAACCACAACCAAAUCCAGGUGACAAGAUGGAGGGAGAAGAUGGAAUAGAGGCCUUAAAAUUAAUCCGCUCCGAGCAAGAAAGAGAUGCCCCAUCCACUGAAAAACAUAAUUGUAUUUUGCAAACCCUAAGCUCUCCUGGUUCAGAAAAGGAAUCCUCUACUAACUCACCAAGACAGCUCUAUAAUCACAGUGACAUUCCAAAAGAAGACCUUGAAGACUUCGAAGCAGCUGUCCUUCCCCAGCUUCUGAGACUCUCCCCAGGGGGUGGCAGCGAUGGAAAGCAAGUCAGAUCUGACCAAGCACCGGCCUCAGGCUUAUUAGGGGCACCAUUGAGUCAGGGUGUUGCCACCUUGAAAGAACAUUAUAAUUCUGUCGAAGAAGAGAUAGCUAAACUGUCUGAAGUUUUCCCAGUCAACAAUGUGGACCAGAGGACAAAGGCAACAGCAUUAUUGAAAAGAGCCCUUACAGAAGAGGGUGAAGAUAAGUCGGCCAUUCACAGUAAUGAAUCAUCUUGCAGCUUGCCAUCCAUUCUGAAUGACAAAAGUGAAAUAAAGGAAGCAAAAUACGCUCCGUGGUUCAACAGAGUCCUUACCUGGGAACAAGAAGUUUCAAGCACCUGCAGAGAUGAGAGCAAGGAAGAAAGCAUGGCAGCAAAUGUUCCAAUCACAGAAACAAAGGUCUACCAGUGGCUGAAGCAGUCUGCCCUUCAGGAUAAUGCAGAUCAAACUGAGGACAGACUCCAAAAGGACGCUUCUGCCUCACAGCUUCCAGGUUUGAACAUUGGCGGUGGUACAUUGAAGACGACAACUAACAAAAUCACAUCGGAAACUAGUUUUUCAUCUAGCGAAAGAAGUCCUUUGUCAAGUCAUGAAAACAAAAAGAAACUAACUACCAACUUAAAGUCUAAAGAGUGAAGAACAGAGGGAGAUCAAGGUGGAGAGGCAGCUCAGUGAGGUGGUAUCAGACCUAAUAAAAUACCCAGCCUUCUGGGGUGAGUCUGAUGACACCAACUCAGAAAUUGAAGCUGCUUUACGUCCUAGAGACCAUAGCACAUCCACGGA